Molecule: long non-coding RNA, 1463 nt
Filed under: Gallus gallus (chicken)
Lineage: Eukaryota; Metazoa; Chordata; Aves; Galliformes; Phasianidae
Description: lncRNA (ENSGALG00010012507.1)
Source: RNAcentral
CUGAGAUCAGGACAUCUCGCACUGAUGAAUAUCUCUUCAUUGCCUCUGUGCACUUCCCCAUUGACUGACCGCUGUGCCCGGCCUUACACCCGUGCUGCACACACGCCGCCCUUUUGUUCUGUUUGUGCUGAGUAUAAUGGAACCUGCGUCCUUGCCUGAGAUCUCAAAGGCUUUCUGUAAUUAAACGCUUAAGAGGUAGCCAUGGUAUGGAGGACAGUCUGACUAACCCUAUGUGACCCUUCCAACCUGGAUGGACCUUCAUCUAUCAAGUUCCACAUCCUUGUACCUUGUAUAAAGACACCUUGGAGGGUGAGAGGCCCUGAUCAACACCUUGGUCACUGCACAAGUACAGAGGAAGGAUCAGUCACAGACAGGAACCACUCUUCUUCUUUAUGAAAAAAGAAACACAUCUGGCUUCAAAACUGGGCAACACUACCAAAAAACCAAACCACCCAACCAGGAAAGGAGAAGUGGAAAUUUGCGGCACUCUAGGGGCUGAGGCUGAAUACUACCUGAGCUGAUGCGCUCAUCAUUUUUUGUACAACAGUUUCCCACUUCAGGUUUGCUCAACUUUCUUGAUUUUGGUACUAAAUACCAAAUUUGAUGCACUGGCCCUUCAAAGAUCUCUGAAGUGGGGCUAUUUGUUUCAGUAGGACCAGAAAUUUAUUUAGAUUUCUUUCCCCUUAGGAGGUAUCGACUCUAUUUUUUUAUUGAUUUCCAUUGAUUUUUUUCUUUUUACCAGAAUGAUUUUUGUGAUGCUUUUCCUCAAAUAUCCCAGAUUGUAAGCCAUCCCACUUAUGUCCUAUAUAGUCCUAAUAAGUAUAUAGCAGACUUAAAAAGCUUACACGAGUGUCAUUAUUUCAGUGCAACCUACUCAUUCUUCGGAAUUAGAAAAUGAGAAGAAUCUCCAGCAUGAAACAUUUACUCAUCAAGAGAUUUCCAAUUCUUUGUUCUAUUUUCAAGAGGAUCGCCAAAUGGAGAAGUUAAUAGUAUAGAUUUACACCUGAACUGAAUACUGGAUGUCCCCAAAGGGCAAACAUUAAAGCAUUAAACCUGCUCAAGGGGAAAUGGCCAUAAACUGAAGCUUAGGAUGUUCCACAGCAUAUGUGAAAGAACUUCUUCACGGUGAGGGUGACGGAGCACUGGACCAGGCUGCCCAGGGAGGUGGUGGAUUCUCCUUCUCUGGAGUUAUUCAAGGCCCACCUGGAUGCCUAGCUGUGCAGCCUGCUGUAGGGAGCCUGCUUUGCAGAGGGGUUGGACUCAAUGAUCUCUAGAGGUCCCUUCCAAUUCUGUGAUUUCACUUUUGCUUCCUAAUUUCCUAAUUUCCUAAUUCACAGACUGAUAAUUUGAACUAUGAACUUCUCAACAUAAACGCAUACAUUGAAGGAGACAGCAUGGGGAAAGUGAGGGUUUUUCCCUUGGAUGUAUGUAUUUUCACAACCUACUUUAACUGAAUGGUCGUG